RNAcentral lists this ribosomal RNA (252 nucleotides) under uncultured prokaryote. RNAcentral's name for it is "partial 16S ribosomal RNA". It matches the Rfam family "Bacterial small subunit ribosomal RNA", at positions 525 to 775 of the family's 1533-position model. The record is from RNAcentral.
ACGUAGGAGGCAAGCGUUAUCCGGAUUUACUGGGCGUAAAGCGCUCGUAGGCGGUUUGUCAAGUGUGAAGUGAAGUCUCCAGGGCUCAACCCGGAAACUGCUUCGCAGACUGGCAGACUUGAGUGACUCAGAGGUGGAUAGAAUUCCUGGUGUAGCGGUGAAAUGCGUAGAGAUCCGGAGGAACCCCAGUGGCGAAGGCGACCUGCUCGGCCUUGCCUGACGCUCAGACGCGAAAGCAUGGGGAGCGAACGG